AAAGGGGGGGUUCGAUGGAUAAGUGACUGACUGAAUGAAUAAAUCCACAAUAUUUGCUCUUGAUUCAUCAAGGUGAGACUAAGCCACCAUUGGAAUGGGGCGUAUUGCUUGUCAGAUAUUGAGGGAAGGGGAAUAGAAUAGGGAAAGAGUGCGGUGUGGUGAUGGGAACGAAUUUUCUUUGGGGAGUGGUGGUACGGCAUUAGGGGAGGACCACGAGACUUAAAAUCAGAAGAGCAAGUGUCCAGUCCUGACUCUCUGAGUAGCCCUGUGACCCUCCGACAAAUUGUUCAAUCUCUCUGGGCCUCGGUUUCAUCGCUAAAUCAAGACUUUUAAUACCUACAAAUAUUAUUGUAAUAACCUUGGGAUCAAAUGAGACAAGAAUGGGAGAGCAUCUCCAACACACGGGAGAGCAUAUCUGCACACUUUUGAGAAGUUGGCAUCUCGUCAGGUCUGGCUCUGGCUCAAGGUCUUUUCAAUGCACCGUGUAAUUUAUUUUCCCGAUAAUGGCACGCGCCACAUACUUUCGUGACUAACUAGUGUCCUACCCUCCUUCUCUCCUCCAGGCCACACAACCAGAAAGCUUCCUCCUGUCCUGGUACACGGGCUUCUCUCGGCUGGGUCGCUUCACAGAGUGGGCCCGGCCUUUCCUCUAUGGCGACGCUAAUUCUCAAUGCAAUGGGUCUGAGAGAGGGCCUCAUAAGAGCUUCAGAAUAUCUCCUCACCUAUUGUCGGAGCUACGGAGUGUCAGCACUGACAGAGCUUUGCGUGUGUGUGCUUUUCUCUAAAAUUGGGCCUGGGACCAGCAUUAAGGAUUGUGCAGGGUCCCUUCCUUUAUGAGCAGCAAAUCAGGCAGGAAGGAGAGCCAUGCUGUGGGCCCGGCCCUCCUUGGGCCUCGCACUUGUCUGCCUAUCCCUACCACCACCGCCUACGCAGAGGCGCCCCGUGACGAGUCAUCUGGAAGCAGCCCCCUCCCCCUCCCAUGGCACUAGGGCUUUCCGAGGAGCUCGCCAGCUGAGGGAGUGGUUUCUGUGGUAUUGUUGCCACAGCUCAUUUUCCAUUAGGGUCACCAGGCAACCACCAGGAAGCGACAACUCCUGACGUAAACCCUGCUUCACCCAGCGAGAAGCUCUGUAUCCCAUUACUAACCCUGGGCUGGAUGUGCCAAAGGCGCGUUGCUGGUGAGGGCGGAUGGAGGCUUCCAGAGACCAGCUCUCAGCAACGUCGGUGCAGCUGUGAGGCUGGGCUGAGGGAGUGAGGGAGCGUUGGGUGACUCAGGGUGUCACCCAGGAAAUACACUGCUGUGUUCUUUUGAAAUAAAUGAUGCUAACAUCUCAUUUUUGUGUGGUGAUUGACAGUGUUUAAGGCAGAUGUGUUUCCACGGUUGAAAUUUAUCCUUCAACCAGCUGUUUGAGGUAAGUACGGUAUGGUCUUUAUUUGAGCGAUGGGGAAACUGAGGCCCCGAGAGCAAUGUCCUAGGCCAGUGUUGUAUCAGUGAGUAAUUAUUGACUGAGACCAAUCAGGACUUCUUCCCACAUCAUGCUGUGGUGUUCGUCUAUCCUCCUUUCUCAAAGAUGCUGCUCUCCUUGACAAAAUUAGUUAAUUAAUCCGGUCCUUUAUGCAUAUAGAGUGUCUGUACAUGCCAUGUAUUAGUAAAGCAUCAAAUACAACAUGCAACCACCCUGUCCUCAUGGUACUGAAAUCCUGAGAGGUGAUUGGUACAUGCAUGUGAAAUUUCAGGUGCAGGUAAGAACACUGGCGAAAAGUUCAGCAGGGUCGGAGGUGGGGGAGAGCCCCUGUUUUAUGCAGGGUGAGCCGAGAAAGCCUGCCAAGAAGUCGCCGUGGGAUCAGAGCCCGAGAGAAGUGAGGAAGCCCCUGGGGUGGUUCUGGGGCACAUGCCGGACGACAGCACAGACCACAGUACGUGCCCCUCAGCUCUCCAAGAUGGGCUGAAGCCAGAUGACAGAGCAUGAGACCCGAGGAGGAACAGCCUGGGGGUCGACGGCACGCCAAGCAGAAGUGGACAAUAUCUGGUCCCAGCUCACGCCUUGGCUUAAUCGCAACCACAUGAGCAAACUCAGGGCUGCACAGCACAGUUGUAAUUGGAAUAGAGUGUCCUCUGGGAGACUGUUGGGGAUGAAGCUGUUCACUGCAUGAGACGACGCACUGCUGCAGAUAUAAUCCGUUUACCGACGAUCGUACCAGUGGCUAACGUUUACUGUGUGCCUAUUGUGCCCCUGGCACAGCGUUCGAUACCCUGGGAGGAUUACCUCAUUAGUUCUCAUAACACAUCGCACAGAGUUUCCACCUUGCCUGCAUCUUGGAAUGACCUGGGAAAGUUUUACUACUGCAGGUACCUGGUCCCAGAGCUACUAAUUUAACUCAUCUGAGAUGUGGUCCACUCAUAAGCUCUUUCCAUUGGGAGCCGGAUUCUCUUUUCCUGCCCUUUGAAUCUGAGGUGGCCAUGCAGCCUGCCUUAAUCAAUAGAAUCCUGCAGAAGAAAUGUUGUGCCAGUUCUGAGCCUGAGCUUUGCAGGCUUCUGCUUGCUAUCCUGGAACCCCACCAUCGCCAUGUGAAUGACCCUGAUCUGCCCUCCUGGAGGAUCGUAGCUGAGGCCAUCCCAGACCAACCAACUCGGCCCACAAACUCAUGAGGAAGCCUGGCUGAGAUCAGAGCCCGGGCCAGACCCACAGGACCUUUCAGUUGAUCUACAGACUUGUGGGUAAUGAUAAAUGGUGGUUAUUUUAAGCCACUAACUUUGGGUUGAUUUGUUAUGCAACAGUAGGUAGCUGAUACACUUCAAUAUAAUUUCCUAUUUCUCUUUGAGCCUAAAUCGGGUUCUCCCUUUAUCCACUCUCAUAGCACCUUAUACUUGUCAACUGUAUAAUGGAUGACAAUGCUUAUCAGAACUAAAAAUUGUGUAAAUAAUACUUUUUUCUCUCUCUGAUUAGAGUUUAAGCCCCAUGAGAUCAGAGACCACAUUUGAUUUGCUCCCUGAAAUAUUCCUACCAUCUGGCAUUAUUUUAUACACGGUAUAUGCUACACUUGAUCUUAACCAAGAGGCCGAGAAGCGAUACACAUGGUAAAUGCUAAAUAAAUACUUGUCAGAAGACAAACGUAAGGAUGAAUUCAUAUGCUCACUAAACAUGUCCUAAGUACUUUCUCCAUUUUGGGUACCAUGCAAGAUGUUAAAGAUAUCAGAAUGAAUAAGGCAUAGUCUUUGUUCUUAAGGAAAUUCAUGGUUUAAAAGCUGGGACAUGAACAUGUAAAUAAAAAUUGUAGGCCACGUUCAUGAGUGUAAUUGAGGGUGUUUAGCGUGUUGAUAAGAGCAGGGUAUAUCAGUGGGUUGAAUAAAUCUGGAGAAAAGAAGUUCCUGGAAAAUGGUUUAUGGAGUAAAUAUUCGAAAUGAUGAUUCUACAUCUGACAAGUGUGUGGCAAUGGGUGUUCAAAGGCCAUAAGUGGUAUUGCCAUUGGAAAUAGGACUUUUCAGAAUGAUUAACGGAGCUUGCUAAAUUUCCAUAUAAGCCAAAAUGCAAACUUCCCUUGAAUUACAUAACAGUGGCAUUUAUGGA
Acinonyx jubatus (cheetah) is the source of this 3569-nucleotide long non-coding RNA. RefSeq lists it as uncharacterized. The record is from RefSeq and is a predicted model, not a curated record. The transcript is spliced from 5 exons. Lineage: Eukaryota; Metazoa; Chordata; Mammalia; Carnivora; Felidae.